GGGCCCCAGAGCACCACAAUGGAGCCCUGGUUCUAUGGGGCUGCACAGUGUCACCAUGGUCCUCUUAGUUCCACCAGGCCCUGCAGGGUCACAAUGGCCCCAGAGUGUCCCAAUCAUCACAGAAUGACAGAAUCAAAUAGGCUGGAAAAGACCUUUGGGAUCAUCAAGUCCAACCAAUGCCCUAAUACCACCUUGUCACCCAGACCAUGCCACUGAGUGCCACUGGAGAGGGACAGUGACUCUGCCACCUUCCCCCUGGCCUGCCCAUUGCAAUGCCCACUCACCCUUUCUGUGAAGAACUUCUUCCUCUUGUCCAGCCUAAACCUCCCCUGGUGCAGCUGAAGGCUGUGUCUUCUUGUCCUGCCCUCCAGCAGAUCCACACUCACACCCAGCUUGGUGUCACCUGCAAAUUUGGGGAUGGUGGGCUUGAUCCCCUCACCCAGAUCAUCAGUGAAGAUGUUAAACAGGACUGGGCCCAACACAGAUCCCUGGGGACAGCACCAGGGACUGGACACCAGCUGGGUGCAGCACCAUCCCCACCCCUCUCUGGGCCCAGCCUCCAGCCAGCUCUUCCAUCUCCCAGCCAGGAGGGAACCUGCCCAAGCCGUGGGCUGCAGCUUUUCCAGGGAAUGCUGUCAGAGACAGUGUCCAAGGCUUUGCUGAAGUCCAGAUGGACACAUCCACAGCCUUUCCCACAUCCACAGGUGGGUCACCUGGUUAUAAAAGGAGAUCAGGGUGCUCAGGCAGGACCUGCCCCACUAAAUCCACGCUGGCUGGCUCUGACCCCUCGGCCAUCCUGUGGGUGCCCUGUGGUGGCACUCAAGGUGAUCUGUUCCAUAACCUUGCCAGGCAGUGAGGUCAGGCUGACAGGCCUGGAGUUCCCCAGAUCCUCCUUCCAGCCCUUCUUGGGGAUGGGCUCACACUGGCACCUCCAGUGCUCUGGGACCUCCCUGGUGAGCCAGGACUGAUGGUAAAUGAUGGGGAGCAGCUUGGGGAGCUCAUCCACCAGCUCCCUCAUCCCCCUAGGAUGGAUCCCAUCCCAUCCCAUACACCUGUGAGCAUCCAAGUGGCUCAGCAGGUCACCAGCUGCUUCCUCCUGGAUUACAGGGGGCUGUUCUGCUCCCUGUGCCCAUCUGCCAGCUCAGGAGAAAACUUGUCCUGAGGACAACCUGUCCAUGUAUUGAAAAUUGAGACAAACAAGGUGUUAUGUAGCUUGUCCUUUUCCUUAUCUUGGGUUACUCUAUUCUCUGCUGCAUCCAAUAAAGAGUAGAAAUUCUCCUUCCCCCUCUUUUUGCUGUAAAUUUUUUUUAAUAAAAACUAUUUUUAUUCCGUUUACAAAA
This 1340-nucleotide long non-coding RNA is filed under the name Taeniopygia guttata (zebra finch). Its description in RNAcentral is "lncRNA (ENSTGUG00000021878.1)". Lineage: Eukaryota; Metazoa; Chordata; Aves; Passeriformes; Estrildidae. The record is from RNAcentral.